Molecule: non-coding RNA, 226 nt
Organism: Cinara cedri
Lineage: Eukaryota; Metazoa; Arthropoda; Insecta; Hemiptera; Aphididae
Source: the annotation of a GenBank genome assembly
ACAACGAUUUCAAGACCUAGAGGAAAUUAAAGCAAAUACGGCAACAGAACUCAAAACUAUAACUUUAGAACAAUUUUAAAGGACUAUCGAAAAAUGGCAAGAUCGAUGGAACUACUGCAUAUUGUCUGGAGAAGAGUUUUUUGAAGACGAUAUCUUUAAGUAAUAUGUAACUUCAUUUUUGUAAUUAUUAAAAAUAAAAUCCUGGUACUUUUUGAACAGACCUCGU